AGCACCGAGUUGCUGGAGGCCUCAAGAGUCAUUGGAGGUGAGUAUUAGUUGUGAUUUGGCAGGAAAUUUGCUUCGGACGCUGGAUGCGCGCCACUUGCCAUAUGUAUGUCCGGAAAGCGUUGCAGGUAAUUUAUUGGUGGUAAGAAUAUGACGCGCCGCUGUCAUUUGUUGGUUUUCUCUUCCACCCUCAGUGGUAGAUGUUUGCGAUUAUUUAUUUAGCUUGUUAAAUUGCAGGUCAGCUUCGGCGGUCGUCGGGAAGAGGAUGCCUGAAGAAAGGUCCGGAACAGCGGUCGUCACGUAGUUUUGGAGCUGCUGCCAUUAUUGUGGUGUGAUCUGUCUCAUUAUGGCAGAGGAGUCGACAGUGAUGAUUGUGGCUUGGUCGUUCAUCUAGGGUGGCUAGGUGCGCCGCGUUUUGUGGCCAUUUCGUCAGGGUUUGCAGCUUGGAGCCUCCGGAACGUGAUUAGUUGCCGAGGGCCGUCGCAACGAUUGGGGCCAUGGAAAUGGAAGUAAAAUUAGAGAUUGGGUACGUUUAGUGGGAGGUACAUUAGGUGGAAGCUAGUCUGGUGGUAAGUGUUAUAAUUGUUUUUAAGGUUGCAUUAAUAUUUUGUUUUUCAGCUGCGUUUUGUAACUAAUUGG
Molecule: long non-coding RNA, 636 nt
Organism: Drosophila sechellia
Lineage: Eukaryota; Metazoa; Arthropoda; Insecta; Diptera; Drosophilidae
Exons: 3
Source: RefSeq, a predicted model, not a curated record